CAGCCAUCGCCGCUGGGAAAUGGGGGUGUAGAGGUUCUUCUCUGGGCAGUUCUCCCAACUUUUGUUUACAUUUGAACUUUUCCAUGUUCAGUCUUUGGAAAGGUGACAGUGGACACACUACCACUACCACCAAUAGCCAUGCAAAAACAAAGACACUGAAUUCAGUCCACCGGGCUGGAAGCUUGGGUAUCUGACACUCACUAGCUGUGUGAGUUAGGCAUGUUAAUUGAUAUCUCUGUGCCUCAGUUUCAUUAAUUGCAAAAUGGGACUGAUGAUAAUCAGACUGGUUUUAUAGGGUUGUUUUGAGGAUUAACCGAGAUUAUGGAGGUACAGUUAGCACGGUGUGGGCCACAGCAAGUGCUCAGUGAUGACCAUCCUUAUUGUUAGGCAUCCAUAGCUGUGGUUAAAAUUUGCCUAAAGAAAAAGCAACUUCGGCCAAUGCAGACAAACCAUUGGUUGAUUCAGGUGAGCUCCAGGAUCUGACGGGUGAGUCCUUGAAGACAGCCCUGAAGCACCACAUGGCCUUGCGUGAGGGUAUCUCCCACGGGAGACACGACUCAGCCAGGCUUUCCUGAAACCCCCUGGGAGGGGCCCUCCCCGGGCCAGCUGUGUCCUUUCCUCCACUGCUCUGCUGAUUCUGGGCCUUCCCCAUCACACAAGCCCAGCUUACAUCCUGCCUUGGUUUUUCUCUGAGUUUUAGCAGCUCGCUCAAACUCCACAGCAAGCCUCAGCCCUAGAUGAGACUGUAAAAGCCAUCUGACCCCACCGUGCCGUCACAGCUUCACUCCACAAACACCUCCCUGACGCCCCGUUGGCUGCUGAGCAUGGAGGGGUGAGCAGGGCGGGCACAGCAGGUGGACAAGAGGUUGAGCUCAGAGCUGGCACAUAAACUCCGGAGCAUGGCCAGACAGAGCAUGGGCAAGGUGGUUAGGAGCCCUGAACCUAAGCACAGCCUCGGCCACUCUUGGGCUGUGUGACCUGCUGUGUCCUUCAGCUGCCAGCUGGCCACCUU
Molecule: long non-coding RNA, 1012 nt
Filed under: Marmota monax (woodchuck)
Lineage: Eukaryota; Metazoa; Chordata; Mammalia; Rodentia; Sciuridae
Source: RNAcentral